RNAcentral lists this ribosomal RNA (517 nucleotides) under Vibrio cholerae. RNAcentral's name for it is "bacterial SSU rRNA". It matches the Rfam family "Bacterial small subunit ribosomal RNA", at positions 416 to 924 of the family's 1533-position model. Lineage: Bacteria; Pseudomonadati; Pseudomonadota; Gammaproteobacteria; Vibrionales; Vibrionaceae. The record is from RNAcentral.
CUUCGGGUUGUAAAGUACUUUCAGUAGGGAGGAAGGUGGUUAAGUUAAUACCUUAAUCAUUUGACGUUACCUACAGAAGAAGCACCGGCUAACUCCGUGCCAGCAGCCGCGGUAAUACGGAGGCUGCAAGCGUUAAUCGGAAUUACUGGGCGUAAAGCGCAUGCAGGUGGUUUGUUAAGUCAGAUGUCCCCCCCACUGGGCUCAACCUAGGAAUCGCAUUUGAAACUGACAAGCUAGAGUACUGUAGAGGGGGGUAGAAUUUCAGGUGUAGCGGUGAAAUGCGUAGAGAUCUGAAGGAAUACCGGUGGCGAAGGCGGCCCCCUGGACAGAUACUGACACUCAGAUGCGAAAGCGUGGGGAGCAAACAGGAUUAGAUACCCUGGUAGUCCACGCCGUAAACGAUGUCUACUUGGAGGUUGUGCCCUAGAGGCGUGGCUUUCGGAGCUAACGCGUUAAGUAGACCGCCUGGGGAGUACGGUCGCAAGAUUAAAACUCAAAUGAAUUGACGGGGGCCCGC